RNAcentral lists this ribosomal RNA (257 nucleotides) under uncultured bacterium. RNAcentral describes it as "partial 16S ribosomal RNA". It matches the Rfam family "Bacterial small subunit ribosomal RNA", at positions 335 to 610 of the family's 1533-position model. The record is from RNAcentral.
CACCUACGGGAGGCAGCAGUGGGGAAUAUUGCACAAUGGGGGAAACCCUGAUGCAGCGACGCCGCGUGAGUGAAGAAGUAAUUCGUUAUGUAAAGCUCUAUCAGCAGGGAAGAAAAUGACGGUACCUGAGUAAGAAGCCCCGGCUAACUACGUGCCAGCAGCCGCGGUAAUACGUAGGGGGCAAGCGUUAUCCGGAUUUACUGGGUGUAAAGGGAGCGUAGACGGCAGUGCAAGUCUGGAGGGAAAGGCGGGGGUGC